RNAcentral lists this ribosomal RNA (479 nucleotides) under uncultured bacterium. Its description in RNAcentral is "partial 16S ribosomal RNA". It matches the Rfam family "Bacterial small subunit ribosomal RNA", at positions 28 to 507 of the family's 1533-position model. The record is from RNAcentral.
GAUGAACGCUAGCGGGAGGCCUAACACAUGCAAGCCGAGCGGUAGAGUUUCUUCGGAAACUUGAGAGCGGCGCACGGGUGCGUAACACGUGUGCAACCUACCUUUAUCUGGGGGAUAGCCUUUCGAAAGGAAGAUUAAUACCUCAUAAUAUAAUGAUUGGCAUCAAUUAUUAUUGAAAACUCCGGUGGAUAGAGAUGGGCACGCGCAAGAUUAGAUAGUUGGUGAGGUAACGGCUCACCAAGUCAAUGAUCUUUAGGGGUCCUGAGAGGGAGAUCCCCCACACUGGUACUGAGACACGGACCAGACUCCUACGGGAGGCAGCAGUGAGGAAUAUUGGACAAUGGGUGAGAGCCUGAUCCAGCCAUCCCGCGUGAAGGAUGACGGUCCUAUGGAUUGUAAACUUCUUUUGUACAGGGAUAAACCUACCCUCGUGAGGGUAGCUGAAGGUACUGUACGAAUAAGCACCGGCUAACUCCGUG